RNAcentral lists this ribosomal RNA (395 nucleotides) under uncultured bacterium. Its description in RNAcentral is "bacterial SSU rRNA". It matches the Rfam family "Bacterial small subunit ribosomal RNA", at positions 505 to 898 of the family's 1533-position model. The record is from RNAcentral.
GUGUCAGCAGCCGCGGUAAUACGUAGGUGGCAAGCGUUGUCCGGAUUUACUGGGCGUAAAGCGCGUGUAGGCGGCCCGUUAAGUCUGUCGUGAAAUCUCCCGGCUCAACCGGGAGGGGUCGACGGAUACUGGCGAGCUUGAGGGAUGCAGAGGAAGGUGGAAUUCCCGGUGUAGUGGUGAAAUGCGUAGAUAUCGGGAGGAACACCAGUGGCGAAGGCGGCCUUCUGGGCAUUUCCUGACGCUGAGACGCGAAAGCGUGGGGAGCGAACCGGAUUAGAUACCCGGGUAGUCCACGCUGUAAACGAUGGACACUAGGUGUGGGGGGUAUCGACCCCCUCCGUGCCGAAGCUAACGCUCUAAGUGUCCCGCCUGGGGACUACGGCCGCAAGGCUAAA